This is a long non-coding RNA of Columba livia (rock pigeon), 1503 nucleotides long. RefSeq lists it as uncharacterized. Lineage: Eukaryota; Metazoa; Chordata; Aves; Columbiformes; Columbidae. The record is from RefSeq and is a predicted model, not a curated record. The transcript has 2 exons.
GGGAGAAGGCAAACAUUGACUUCUGGGAGAAAUGGAGCUUCAGGUGACUGAGGAUGCUCCUGGUGAUGGAGUGACAGUAACGAUCCUUCUCUAAAUGAGAUGACGUGGCAGCAAUUGUAUCCCGAGAUGUUUUGAGAGCAGAUCCAGAUGGUGUGAUUUCCCUUUUUACCCUGAACCUGGCCAAUACAGAGGGAUGGAUGAGAAUCAGCUGGCAGACAACCUGGCAAGAGGGGGUACGAAGUGCAAGGUGCGAGGAGAUGGCCAAUAGGAGCAACGCAAGAUGCAGUUGCAACUCGUGACUGCACUGUUACAGCCUGACUGUGUCCACCUUUCCUAAAGAGCUUGGCUAUUUUUGAGUAUUUCCAGAAUGCACUGUCUCUCAGUUUCUCAUCUAAUGAACUUUCCAGACAGUGUCUUCCAACACAACACCUCACACAGCAUGAUGUACCCUGAUUUUUGGUGCUCUUACCCUCAGGCCUUUCUGACCUGCUAGUAAUCUUGACCAGACAAGCAUUUGAAUGAAAAUGAGAUGAAUGAUGGACAGCACAAAUGAAUGAAGUCUGCUGAGAUGAUGAUCAACAAAAACCUCCCAUGUGAGGGAUGUUAAUACUGCCUAGCUUAGAUGCUCUGAAUUGCCUCAAUGCAUAUCUGAACUAUAAUACCCUCAAGCAGAUUAGGUGAUUAUCAUCCCUCAGUGAGCAUUUCCAAGAGCCACUGGUAGAACAUUUUGUUUCAGAGAAAAACCUCCAAUCCAUACCUUUUUCCUGAUGUCCCACUUCAGUUUACCUUAGAAAAAUGGGUAUUUUAGAUCACAGUGUUGAUUUACUUUUGAUGAACACUACCUGGUAGGUUGGAUUGAUGUAUAAAGAGGAAUUUGCUGCAGUGGGGCUUAACAGGGUGGUGUAGGGAAAUCUGUUUAUUAAAUUUAUAGUGGUAGAAACACAUGCUGUAGCUACUGGCUUUUUCUGACUAUAAAUGAUGUGUUUAUGUCACUUUCACUAUUGAGGGAACCUGAGCAACAGGAACCUCUAUUUAUCUGCAGUUUUUGCUUCCUUCAUGCAUCACUGAUAGUGGAAAUAAAACACAGGAAAAAAAACCCCAAAAGAUGAAAACUCUGCCAUAAGCUUCAGUGGAGCUUUAAAGUACUGCAAGAUGUUUCUGCAGGGAUUUCCCAUCUGUCUUUACCUACCAGAGUUACAGGAGCUUAUCCACCCACAGCAGCCACAAAGAUAGGAAUAUUUUCAAGAUGUAAAUGUUUCCCUGAGCGUUAGACCCUGAUAGAGAUGUCCUUUAUUCAGAGAUUUUAGAAUUUGCGAUGUUUGGUCUCCUACCUUACAAUCCCAGUAAACUGUUUCCAUUUUCUGUGUGUUGUUUCCUCUUCUCAUCAAUAAAAAGGAAUGAGUGGUAUUCAUGACCGUUUAAGAAUGGAUGCAAUGUGCUAUAAAUGAUACAAUUCUAAACAGUAAAUUUUAUGCCAAAUAAAUUCUUCUUUCUUCUCCUCCA